GAUGAACGCUAGCGGGAGGCUUAAUACAUGCAAGUCGAGCGGUAAGGUCUUCGGACCCUAGAGCGGCGCACGGGUGAGUAACGCGUACGAAACCUGCCUUUAAGAGAGGGAUAGCCCUGGGAAACUGGGAGUAAUACCUCGUAGUAUUCGAUUUCUGCAUGGGAAUUGGAUUAAAGCUGAGGCGCUUAAAGAUGGUCGUGCGUCUGAUUAGCUAGUUGGUAGGGUAACGGCCUACCAAGGCGACGAUCAGUAGGGGGCGUGAGAGCGUGGCCCCCCACACGGGUACUGAGACACGGACCCGACUCCUACGGGAGGCAGCAGUAAGGAAUAUUGGGCAAUGGACGGAAGUCUGACCCAGCCAUCCCGCGUGCAGGAAGAAUGCCCUAUGGGUUGUAAACUGCUUUUGUUUGGGAAGAAAUGUACUUUUUUAAGAGUAUUUGACGGUACCAGACGAAUAAGCACCGGCUAACUCCGUGCCAGCCGCCGCGGUAA
Molecule: ribosomal RNA, 492 nt
Filed under: uncultured bacterium
Lineage: Bacteria
Description: partial 16S ribosomal RNA
Rfam family: Bacterial small subunit ribosomal RNA
Source: RNAcentral